CAACUACUCCCUCUGUCCCAAAUUUCUUGUCUUAGAUUUGUCUAGAUACGGAUGUAUCUAAUACUAAAAUGUGACUUGAUACAUCUGUAUCUAGACAAAUCUAAGACAAGAAUUUUGGGACAGAGGGAGUACUUU
Triticum aestivum (bread wheat) is the source of this 135-nucleotide non-coding RNA. Lineage: Eukaryota; Viridiplantae; Streptophyta; Magnoliopsida; Poales; Poaceae. The record is from Rfam.